RNAcentral lists this transfer RNA (70 nucleotides) under Marmota monax (woodchuck). Its description in RNAcentral is "tRNA.Ala". Lineage: Eukaryota; Metazoa; Chordata; Mammalia; Rodentia; Sciuridae. The record is from RNAcentral.
GGGCUGGGGCUCAGUGGUCAAGCACUUGCCUCGCAAGUAUGAGUUACUGGGUUCAAUCCUCAGCACCACA